CGCUGGCGGCGUGCCUAACACAUGCAAGCCGAACGAGGUCCAAGGAAGCUUGCUUCCUGAAGACCUAGUGGCGAACGGGUGAGUAACACGUGAGAAACCUGCCUCGGAGUGGGGAAUAACUCGGGGAAACUCGAGCUAAUACCGCAUACCUUCACAUGAUCGCAUGGUCGAGUGAAGAAAGAAUUUCGCUCUGAGAGGGUCUCGCGGCCUAUCAGCUUGUUGGUGGGUAACGGCCUACCAAGGCAACGACGGGUAGCUGGUUUGAGAGAACGAUCAGCCACACUGGGACUGAGACACGGCCCAGACUCCUACGGGAGGCAGCAGUGGGGAAUCUUGCGCAAUGGGCGAAAGCCUGACGCAGCAACGCCGCGUGCGGGAUGACGGCCUUCGUGGUUGUAAACCGCUUUCAGCAGGGACGAAAAUGACGGUACCUGCAGAAGAAGCCCCGGCUAACUACGUG
RNAcentral lists this ribosomal RNA (460 nucleotides) under uncultured bacterium. Its description in RNAcentral is "bacterial SSU rRNA". It matches the Rfam family "Bacterial small subunit ribosomal RNA", at positions 34 to 507 of the family's 1533-position model. The record is from RNAcentral.